AGCAGCCGCGGUAAUUCCAGCUCCAAUAGCGUAUAUUAAAGUUGUUGCAGUUAAAAAGCUCGUAGUUGAACCUUAGGCCCGUGCGGGUGGUCCGUCCUCUGGGCGAGCACUGCCUCGUCGCGGGUCUCACCUUCUGGCGAGCGUGGAUGCCAUUCACUUGGUGUCUGCGGGAACCAGGACCUUUACCUUGAAAAAAUUAGAGUGCUCAAAGCGGGCUCGUACGCUUGAAUACAUUAGCAUGGAAUAAUGAAAUAGGACGACGGUUCUAUUUUGUUGGUUUCCGGGACAGUCGUAAUGAUUAAUAGGGAUAGUUGGGGGCAUUCGUAUUCAAUCGUCAGAGGUGAAAUUCUUGGAUUUAUUGAAGACGGACUACUGCGAAAGCAUUUGCCAAGGAUGUUUUCAUUAAUCAAGAGCGAAAGUUGGGGGAUCGAAGACGAUUAGAUACCGUCGUAGUCUCAACCAUAAACUAUGCCGACUGGGAAUCGGGCGAUGUUAUUUUUCGUGACUCGCUCGGCGCCCC
RNAcentral lists this ribosomal RNA (520 nucleotides) under uncultured Paraglomus. RNAcentral's name for it is "bacterial SSU rRNA". It matches the Rfam family "Eukaryotic small subunit ribosomal RNA", at positions 569 to 1089 of the family's 1831-position model. The record is from RNAcentral. Lineage: Eukaryota; Fungi; Glomeromycota; Glomeromycetes; Paraglomerales; Paraglomeraceae.